Molecule: small RNA, 175 nt
Filed under: Chelonoidis abingdonii (Abingdon island giant tortoise)
Lineage: Eukaryota; Metazoa; Chordata; Testudines; Testudinidae
Description: TUC338 (ENSCABG00000019818.1)
Source: RNAcentral
GUGCAAGGUACUGGACUGUUGCAUUCUUUUACCCACAGAACAGGUACAGCAUGACAACAAUAGUGUAAGUUUCCUCCAUGCUCUUCUCUGCCAAUGGGUCUCACCAAUGCCCAGGAUGGACCUUAAAGGAGGUGGAGGGAUUCAUUCUCCAUAAGCUAAUCAAUCAAUGACCUGU